UACGAAGGGGGCUAGCGUUGCUCGGAAUCACUGGGCGUAAAGCGCACGUAGGCGGCUUUCUAAGUCAGGGGUGAAAUCCUGGAGCUCAACUCCAGAACUGCCUUUGAUACUGGGAAGCUCGAGUCCGGAAGAGGUGAGUGGAACUGCGAGUGUAGAGGUGAAAUUCGUAGAUAUUCGCAAGAACACCAGUGGCGAAGGCGGCUCGCUGGGACGGUACUGACGCUAAGGCGCGAAAAGCGUGGGGGAGCGAACAGG
Molecule: ribosomal RNA, 255 nt
Filed under: uncultured bacterium
Lineage: Bacteria
Description: partial 16S ribosomal RNA
Rfam family: Bacterial small subunit ribosomal RNA
Source: RNAcentral